RNAcentral lists this unclassified non-coding RNA (234 nucleotides) under Hevea brasiliensis (rubber tree). Lineage: Eukaryota; Viridiplantae; Streptophyta; Magnoliopsida; Malpighiales; Euphorbiaceae. The record is from RNAcentral.
AAAAAAAAAAAAGAAAAGAAAAGUUCUACGUGUUUAUGUUGCUGGUGUUGUGCGUGAAAUAAUUACUGUACCUAUAAGAAGUGUGUACAUUCGUCUCUAUAUGUAUGGAGAGGAGGGGGAUUUAACUCUCUAUUCCUUUGGGAAAAUAAUGAAAAACCCAUUUGUAUUAUUAUCUUUAUUGCAUAUUUUUUGGUACCUUGCUUGACCCUUUUCUCAUCGAUACUUGCUGUUUUG